RNAcentral lists this long non-coding RNA (1911 nucleotides) under Triticum aestivum (bread wheat). Its description in RNAcentral is "long non-coding RNA (TAES_LNC028632)". The record is from RNAcentral. Lineage: Eukaryota; Viridiplantae; Streptophyta; Magnoliopsida; Poales; Poaceae.
UGGAGUCUGAGGUGGAGACCGUGAUAAAGAAGAUGAAAGCCCUGUCAACUUUGGAGGAGAAGCACACCCGUGAGCGCAUGAGGAAAUUAUCGAGGCAACUUGCUUAUCUUGUUGAUUUGGAGUCUAGCAAGCAGGAGGUAUUUCUUUUUUUAUUUUUAUUUGUUGCUUUUUGGUCACUACUGUUUUUCUUGUUUUAAAUCUUAGCUCAAAUGUGAAUAUUAUGCUUGCUGGGUUUCAAAACCAUGUGUGCCAUCUGCCUCACGAAUGUUGUUAUUUGUUCCAAUGUCAGUGUUACAAGGAUUAAUCAGUGUCUUCAUGUAAAUAUGGAACAUACAGUGUAUGUAAUUUGAGCAUGUGAACCUUUUGCCUAGACUACAUUUUGUCUUGUGGCCAAGUAAAGGUGUAAUGCAUAUUAGUUUUUUGUUUGUGUUGGAUUGCAGGGCCCCAGUGAGUUUGCCGUUGCUGCUGUGCCUUCUGGUGGUGGUUGUGCUGCGGCUGCAGCUGCUCCCCAGGAGAAGAAAGACGAGGAAUCUGAGGAUAGAUCUGACACUGAGGACGGAUACAUUGACCUGUUUGAAGGCUAAGACUAGACACAGUGGGAGUAACUUCAGCAGUAACUUCAAGUCCAACUCAGCAAAUUUGUCUAUGUGGCAAUGAGUUAAUGAAGAGAGAGGUAGAGCUAGUAACUUAGCUAGUUACUGUAACAUCACACAUAUCAAGGCAAAAUGAGUCUAUAGCAUAAUAAAUGAAGUGUUGCAUGUUACUACACAUAUGUUACUUCCCACUAUAGAGGUAGUAACAUAUAGUAGUAACAUGCUCAUGUUACUACUUUAUGUUACUACCCAUUGUGGCUAGUCUAAGUGAGUAUCUCAACGUAUGUUAAAGUCCUGUUUUUGGUCACUACUGGUUUUCUGAUUCGAAAUCUUUGGUCAGAUACCAAUUGCUGGUUUUCAAAACGUGUCAUGUUUGCCUGCCAUUUGCCUCCUGAUGUUACUUGUUCCAUUCUUGAUGUUAAAAUGAUUAGUCUGUGUCUUUUUGUAAAUAUAAACAUACAGUGUAUAUAUAGUUUUAAUGUGUGAACCUAUUGUUCUAUUUCAUACAUAUUAAAUGCCUAGGCUAAAUUUUGCCUUGUGGACAAGUAAUGGUGUAAUGCAUAUUAAUUUUGUGUUUAUCUUGUGGAUUGCAUGCAGGACCAAAGCAAGUUUGCCGGCACUGCCGCGCCGUCUGGUGGAAGGAGUGCAAUGGUGAAUCUGAUGAUGUGGAGGGAUUCAUGAACCUGUUUGGCGACUAAUAAGCUGCACCUUCUAUUUUCCAUUAAGUUGCCACUUCUGUCGUAGCGUAGAUAGAUGAGUGAGCUCUUUUAUCUUAGUAUACUAGUUGGCAUCUCAAGCCCUGGACUGUUGUUUGUACUUGCCAAUGCCAUCGUUCAUGUACUUGGUUGGUAGUAUUCCGGCUGCUUUCUCGUAUGUCAGAUGCUCAUGAUCUGAUUCCCUUUAAACUAGAACAGCAACUUAUUUCCAGUUCAAAGCAAUAUAGGUUGUUGUUUGCAUGCUUAUGCUAGCUGCUUAUUUGAUGUGAGUUGUUGCAAAAAAUGGUGAACCAUGUCAUCCUAGUUUAUGAAAUAUUCUUUAUCUUUGAGGCAUGCAUGUUUAUUUAUAGCUGUUUUAACCUUGUAAUUGUUUUGCAUGUCUCAUGCCAACGUAACACAGCAGUAUAAAUCUUUUUCCAUAUUUUGUGCUCUUUGCUUAGAAAGGAUGGAAUUAUUCUUUUCUAGGGGAACAUGGAAUUUUUGUGUAGUGAAUCUGCUGCUGUUAUUCUUUUGAGCUGCAAAAGUAGAAAGCAAAUGGUUCAAAAUUCCAUCUGUUGGUUAGGUAACCAAACUAGCAAAUUACCACUGAUAAAACUAGCAAC